Molecule: ribosomal RNA, 464 nt
Filed under: Vreelandella stevensii
Lineage: Bacteria; Pseudomonadati; Pseudomonadota; Gammaproteobacteria; Oceanospirillales; Halomonadaceae
Description: partial 16S ribosomal RNA
Rfam family: Bacterial small subunit ribosomal RNA
Source: RNAcentral
CUACGGGAGGCUGCAGUGGGGAAUAUUGGACAAUGGGUGAAAGCCUGAUCCAGCCAUGCCGCGUGUGUGAAGAAGGCCUUCGGGUUGUAAAGCACUUUCAGUGGGGAAGAAAGCCUUGGGGCUAAUACCCUCGAGGAAGGACAUCACCCACAGAAGAAGCACCGGCUAACUCCGUGCCAGCAGCCGCGGUAAUACGGAGGGUGCGUGCGUUAAUCGGAAUUACUGGGCGUAAAGCGCGCGUAGGCGGUCUGAUAAGCCGGUUGUGAAAGCCCCGGGCUCAACCUGGGAACGGCAUCCGGAACUGUCAGGCUAGAGUGCAGGAGAGGAAGGUAGAAUUCCCGGUGUAGCGGUGAAAUGCGUAGAGAUCGGGAGGAAUACCAGUGGCGAAGGCGGCCUUCUGGACUGACACUGACGCUGAGGUGCGAAAGCGUGGGUAGCAAACAGGAUUAGAUACCCGAGUAGUC